AAACCACGAUAGGUCACGAUUUCUGGAAUGGAUCAUGGCNUAAAUCUACAUGGCCCCUGGAUUGGACUGCGGCCGAUCAGGCAGUUGGUGAGGUAAUGGCCCACCAAACCUAUAACCGGUACGGGCUCUGAGAGGAGAAGCCCGGAGAUGGGCACUGAGACAAGGGCCCAGGCCCUAUGGGGCGCAGCAGGCGCGAAACCUCUGCAAUAGGCGAAAGCCUGACAGGGUUACUCUGAGUGAUUUCCGCUAAGGGGAUCUUUUGGCACCUCUAAAAAUGGUGCAGAAUAAGGGGUGGGCAAGUCUGGUGUCAGCCGCCGCGGUAAUACCAGCACCCCGAGUGGUCGGGACGAUUAUUGGGCCUAAAGCAUCCGUAGCCGGUUCUGCAAGUCUUCCGUUAAAUCCAGCCGCUCAACGGAUGGGCCGCGGAGGAUACUAUAGGACUAGGAGGCGGGAGAGGCAAGCGGUACUCAGUGGGUAGGGGUAAAAUCCUUUGAUCCAUUGAAGACCACCAGUGGCGAAGGCGGCUUGCCAGAACGCGCUCGACGGUGAGGGAUGAAAGCU
Molecule: ribosomal RNA, 561 nt
Filed under: uncultured Thermoprotei archaeon
Lineage: Archaea; Thermoproteati; Thermoproteota; Thermoprotei
Description: bacterial SSU rRNA
Rfam family: Archaeal small subunit ribosomal RNA
Source: RNAcentral